GGAAACGUGCCUGAAGAUAAGGAACUCCUUGAUGGGGAGAACCACGGGGGUUAAAAUCCCCUCAUUUCCU
Molecule: transfer RNA, 70 nt
Filed under: Pristimantis ecuadorensis
Lineage: Eukaryota; Metazoa; Chordata; Amphibia; Anura; Strabomantidae
Description: tRNA-Ile
Rfam family: tRNA
About the family: Transfer RNA (tRNA) molecules are approximately 80 nucleotides in length. Their secondary structure includes four short double-helical elements and three loops (D, anti-codon, and T loops).
Source: RNAcentral